This 425-nucleotide ribosomal RNA is filed under the name uncultured bacterium. Its description in RNAcentral is "partial 16S ribosomal RNA". It matches the Rfam family "Bacterial small subunit ribosomal RNA", at positions 354 to 796 of the family's 1533-position model. The record is from RNAcentral.
GUGGGGAAUCUUGCGCAAUGGGCGAAAGCCUGACGCAGCCAUGCCGCGUGAAUGAUGAAGGUCUUAGGAUUGUAAAAUUCUUUCACCGGGGACGAUAAUGACGGUACCCGGAGAAGAAGCCCCGGCUAACUUCGUGCCAGCAGCCGCGGUACUACGAAGGGGGCUAGCGUUGCUCGGAAUUACUGGGCGUAAAGGGCGCGUAGGCGGACAGUUUAGUCAGAGGUGAAAGCCCAGGGCUCAACCUUGGAAUUGCCUUUGAUACUGGCUGUCUUGAGUACGGGAGAGGUGAGUGGAACUCCGAGUGUAGAGGUGAAAUUCGUAGAUAUUCGGAAGAACACCAGUGGCGAAGGCGACUCACUGGCCCGUUACUGACGCUGAGGCGCGAAAGCGUGGGGAGCAAACAGGAUUAGAAACCCGAGUAGUCC